Molecule: long non-coding RNA, 1562 nt
Filed under: Numida meleagris (helmeted guineafowl)
Lineage: Eukaryota; Metazoa; Chordata; Aves; Galliformes; Numididae
Description: lncRNA (ENSNMEG00000002816.1)
Source: RNAcentral
CCGGGCCCCAGCGCAACCACCCCCCUCUUUUCCUCCCUCCCUCCCACCGCCCGACUGAGAGGCGGCGUGAAGCCACGCCCCUUUUGACUCCUCCCUCCGUUGUAUCCCUCCGCCGCUCUCAAUGCUUGAGGGGCUACCGCCGGGAAGCGGUUGUUCGCGGCCAAGCUUUGAGCUGCGUGGGGGAGGAGUGGGAAGAAGGGGAGGGGUGGAAGUGGUUUCUGUGCGGCUGAGCGUUGUCUCUGGGGGGGAGGGGUGGGACUAUGUUUUACGGCGGAGGGAGACGGAGGGAUCGACUAACUCAUCACCGGAAGAUGGACUGACGAACCGCGGAGAGUUAUCCAAUGGGAAGCCUCGCCGCUCUGAGUGGCGGGGAAUACAGCCAACCGGAGAGCGCGUUGCUCACGCCCCGCCCACCGAGCGCUGCGCCGGCUGGGGCCGGCCGCUGGUUCGUGUCGCUGCCCGCAGCGCCCGCGGAGCGGGGCCGCCUGGAUCCGGGUGUCUCACCAACCUGUGCAAACCAAGAGGCCAAGCUGCCUGGGAUGUGGCUGGCUCUGCCCGCUGAGCCCGUCCCACUCGUCACACUGAUGGGCCUGGGAUGGGUGUGCUCUGCUGGGGUGCUGCUGCCACCUGGGCAAACUGAGGGGUCCCCCUCCCCACAACCCUGAGCAUCCACGUGUCAGUGUCCCUGAGCAUCCUGCAUCCCUGAGCAUCCCACAUCCCUGAGCAUCCAACAUCCCUGAGCAUCCCAUAUCCCUGAGCAUCCCACAUCCCUGAGCAUUCCCACAUCAGUGAUUAUCCCUGAGCAUCCUCUGUCCCUGAGCAUCCUGCAUCCCAGAGCAUCCUGUGCUCACUGAGCACCCCAAAUCUCCAGAUACCCUGUGACUCUGAACAUCCUGCACCUCUGAACGUCCUUUGUCCCUGAGCGUCUCACAUCCUUAAGAAUCCCAUGUCCCUGAGCAUCCUGCAUCCCUGAGCAUCCCACAUGCCUGCAUCCCUGAGAAUCCCCACAUUAGUGAGCAUUCCUGGGCAUCCCCACAUCCCUGAAUGUCCCUGAGCAUCCCACACCCCCAGUCUCUAAGCAUCCUGCACCCCUGAGCAUCCCUGCAUCCAUGAGCAUCCCUGCAUCCCUGAGAAUCAUUUAGCACCCUGCAUCCCCAAGCAUCCCUGUGUCUUGGAGCAUCCCCACAACCUGGAGGAUCCCAUAUCCCCAAUCUCUAAGCAUCCUUCAUCCCAGUGCAUCCUUGCCUCCCUGAGCAUCUCACAUCCCAGAGCACCCCCAAACACUCUUCAUCCCUGAGCAUCCCUGUAUCUGUGAGCAUCUCUGAGCAUCUCUGCAUCUCUGAGCAUCCCAGAGCAUCCUUGAGCAUCCCGCAUCCCCGAGCAUCCUGCAUCCCAAAGCAUCCCUGUGUCCUGGAGCAGCCCCACAUCCCGGGGCAUCCCAUAUCCCAACCACCCCACAUCCCUAAGCCUUCAGGUCCCGGCUGUGGGGCUGAGGGUGCAGCAGGAACCCCGCAGGGGUGGAGGGCUGCGGAGGGUGACGGCGACGUAGCACCUACUCUAAU